This 741-nucleotide ribosomal RNA is filed under the name uncultured bacterium. RNAcentral's name for it is "partial 16S ribosomal RNA". It matches the Rfam family "Bacterial small subunit ribosomal RNA", at positions 307 to 1030 of the family's 1533-position model. The record is from RNAcentral.
CCCAGACUGGGACUGAGAUACGGCCCCAGACUCCUACGGGAGGCAGCAAUUAAGAAUCGUGCGCAAUGGGCGAAAGCCUGACGCCCGCGACGUCGCGUGGAGGACGAAGGUCUUAGGAUCGUAAACUCCUUUUAUCGAGGAACAAGUUCUGAGUGUACUCGAUGAAUAAGUGCCUGCAAACCACGUGCCAGAAGCAUCGGUAAUACGUGGGGCACGAGUGUUAUCCGGAUUUACUGGGCGUAAAGAGAUGCGUAGGCGUCUUCUUAAGUCACUUGUGAAAUAUCCCGACCCAAUCGGGACACCGCAAGUGAUACUAAGUUGAUUGAGGUGGGUAGAGGAGAGGGGAAUUCCUGGUGGAGCGGUCAAAUGCGUAGAUAUCAGGAGGAACACCAAAGGCGAAGGCACCUCUCUGGGCCUCACCUGACGCUAAGGCUCGAAAGCGUGGGGAGCAAAACGGAUUAGAUACCCGUGUAGUCCACGCUGUAAACCAUCCCUGCUAGUUGUCUGAUUUACACACCCUUUUCCUUCGGGAGAAGAUCAGUGUGCAGAUUGGGUGACGCAGCUAACGCAGUAAGCAGGGCGCCUGGGGAGUACGGCCGCAAGGCUAAAACUCAAAGGAAUUGACGGGGACCCGCACAAGUAGUGGAGCGCCUGGUUUAAUUCGAUGAUCAUCGAAAAAUCUCACCUGGGCUUGAACUGUAGCUGCUAAACCGGUGAAAGCCGGAAUCCUUCGAGGGUGCU